This 253-nucleotide ribosomal RNA is filed under the name uncultured bacterium. Its description in RNAcentral is "partial 16S ribosomal RNA". It matches the Rfam family "Bacterial small subunit ribosomal RNA", at positions 524 to 776 of the family's 1533-position model. The record is from RNAcentral.
GACAGAGGGUGCAAACGUUGUUCGGAAUUACUGGGCGUAAAGCGCGUGUAGGCGGCCCUGCAAGUCGGAUGUGAAAUCCCACGGCUCAACCGUGGAAGUGCACUCGAAACUGGAUGGCUAGAGUCCUGGAGAGGAAGGUGGAAUGCUUGGUGUAGAGGUGAAAUUCGUAGAUAUCAAGCGGAACACCGGUGGCGAAGGCGGCCUUCUGGACAGUGACUGACGCUGAGACGCGAAAGCGUGGGGAGCAAACAGG